CUUUGGCGGGGUUAAAAGGGAAAACGGUGAGAAGCCGUUACAGCCCCGCUACUGUGAAGGGCUACGAAAGUUGAUUUGGGCCACUGUCCUGAGCGUAGUCGAAGGAUGGGAAGGUUCAACCAGUAGGUCUGAAGCCCGAAGUCAGGAAACCUGCCAGAUUCUAAAGCCCUAG
RNAcentral lists this non-coding RNA (172 nucleotides) under Candidatus Zhuqueibacterota. The record is from RNAcentral. Lineage: Bacteria; Pseudomonadati.